Molecule: ribosomal RNA, 139 nt
Filed under: Swertia chirayita
Lineage: Eukaryota; Viridiplantae; Streptophyta; Magnoliopsida; Gentianales; Gentianaceae
Description: partial 18S ribosomal RNA
Rfam family: Eukaryotic small subunit ribosomal RNA
Source: RNAcentral
AGAACCUCUCGCCGGUUUGUUAUUUUUUUUCCUCCGGAUCAAAGAACUCCCACUCGUUAGAAAGUUAUUAACCUUAUCAUUUAGAGGAAGGAGAAGUUGUAACAAGGUUUCCGUAGGUGAACCUGCGGAAGGAUCAUUG